Molecule: ribosomal RNA, 490 nt
Filed under: uncultured bacterium
Lineage: Bacteria
Description: partial 16S ribosomal RNA
Rfam family: Bacterial small subunit ribosomal RNA
Source: RNAcentral
AUUGAACGCUGGCGGCAGGCCUAACACAUGCAAGUCGAACGGUAACAGGAAGCAGCUUGCUGCUUUGCUGACGAGUGGCGGACGGGUGAGUAAUGUCUGGGAAACUGCCCGAUGGAGGGGGAUAACUACUGGAAACGGUAGCUAAUACCGCAUAACGUCGCAAGACCAAAGAGGGGGACCUUAGGGCCUCUUGCCAUCGGAUGUGCCCAGAUGGGAUUAGCUAGUAGGUGGGGUAACGGCUCACCUAGGCGACGAUCCCUAGCUGGUCUGAGAGGAUGACCAGCCACACUGGAACUGAGACACGGUCCAGACUCCUACGAGAGGCAGCAGUGGGGAAUAUUGCACAAUGGGCGCAAGCCUGAUGCAGCCAUGCCGCGUGUAUGAAGAAGGCCUUCGGGUUGUAAAGUACUUUAAGCGGGGAGGAAGGGAGUAAAGUUAAUACCUUUGCUCAUUGACGUUACCCGCAGAAGAAGCACCGGCUAACUCCGUG